Small nuclear RNA from Meriones unguiculatus (Mongolian gerbil), 107 nucleotides. Lineage: Eukaryota; Metazoa; Chordata; Mammalia; Rodentia; Muridae. The record is from Ensembl.
GCGCUCACUUUGGCAGCACGUAGACUAAGACCGGAACUAUACAGAGAAGAUUGGCAUGGCCCUUGCCCUGGGAUGACAUGGAAAUUCGUGAAGUGUUCCAUAUUCCA